RNAcentral lists this transfer RNA (66 nucleotides) under Marmota monax (woodchuck). RNAcentral describes it as "tRNA.Asp". The stretch from base 6 to 61 matches the Rfam family "tRNA", at positions 8 to 63 of the family's 71-position model. From Rfam's summary of the family: Transfer RNA (tRNA) molecules are approximately 80 nucleotides in length. Lineage: Eukaryota; Metazoa; Chordata; Mammalia; Rodentia; Sciuridae. The record is from RNAcentral.
GGAUGUAGCUCAGUGGUAGAGUACUUCCCUAUCAUGUAUGAAACCCUGGGUUCAAUCCCAGAACCA